ACUUUUCAACAUGCAGAGCAGCCACAAUGCAUAUUUCUAAUGGUGCGAAGACUUCAGAUAGAUGGCGAAGCUGCUUAGAGCAGACCCUACAAAUAACCAUAUGACCGAUAUCUUUUAGCAGAGCUAGAUUAGUUUGACAUGUUAAGAGAGACCAGAAAGCAGAAAGAGACCAUAUUUACAUGGCUGAUGUUUCAGGGCAAUGCAUUAUGAUACAGUAGUGAAAAUAAGAAAGCAAUAAACCCUCAGCAUGAAGUCAUUUCAAACCAGCUGUGGUCUCCAAUUUGAUUAGAUUUUGGAACUUACUUAGCCUUAUUCACAAGAGUUAAAUGACUGAUUUAUUGUCACUGAUUAACAGUGAGAGAAAAGGUUGAAUUGAACUGAAUGAAUGAAAAGAUCAGAGUUCUAUUUAACCAGGGCGCCCCUGGUGUAUUGCUAAGAGUCAAUAGCCUCAGACCUCUCCCUGGUGCUGUCCUCAGAGAACGGUGACAUAGUUCAUGGCAACACAACACUGAACUUUUGUCUGACACAGACUUUGGUUGCACAGAGUUGACUGCAGAAUGGAUUUCAUCUCCUCCAUAGUUGCUACCUGCAUAAACUGGGAUGUCAAAAGUCUGCUGCUCUUCAUAACUAUUUUUAUCCUCACUAUGGACUGCAUUAAGAACCGCCGGCCAGCCAGCUUUCCUCCAGGACCUUGGGCUUUUCCUAUCGUGGGUAACAUUUUCUCAGUGGACCACAGCAAGACCCAUGAAAGUAUGAUGCAGGUAAAUGGACCAGUUUAAAAAGAUCUAACCAACAGGUCAACUGAAAGAACCAACUUAAUGUUUCCAGUUAUAUUAAGCAUUUUAUUUUCCUCCUCUCUUAAAUCUGUUCAUAGUUAGCAAAGAAGUAUGGAGGUGUGUACAGCCUGCGAAUGGGCCAGGAGUGGCAUGUAAUCUUAAACGGGUUUGCUGCUCUGAAAGAAGCUCUUGUAAAUCAAGGAGACGGUCUAGCCGAUCGCCCAUCCCUCCCUCUGCUUGAGGACCUGAACCAUGGAUUCGGUGAGAGGAUUUUAAACACACAACAGGCAAAUACUGAGUCAGCUGGGGAAUAAAUGGUUAUGUUAGUGGGUCACUGUAUUGGCUCGCAUAAUUGCCCCUUUUGGGAAGUAACAGAUGAAUAUCUGAAAAACUCGGCUUAUUGAUGAGCAUUUUUGAAAUAUCAUGAGUAAACAUAAAAGGAGAUUAAAUAUAUGAAAAAAAUCUGUGAUAUAAUCAAGCUUGACUCCUUCAUUUGUUUUAGAACUUAAAGGUAAUAAUAUAGUCAAUUCAUAAAAGUUUUUCUGACUGUGAAACUGAGUAAAAUUGGCAACAUUUUUUCCAUUUUAUUGAAAAGAUUCAAUCACAGAUAUACACACAACAGAGACUGAUGAAUUAAAAACAUGUUUAUAGAAAAACUCUGAUUCUCCUCAGUAUUUUGCUGCUUAAUUUUCCCUCAUUCCUAAUGUACUUCCAAUCAGGGGUCAUUUUUACGAAUGGGAACAUGUGGAAACAACAGAGGCGUUUUGCGCUAUCCACCUUAAGACGUUUUGGAUUUGGCAAGAAGUCACUUGAACCAGUCAUCCUGGAUGAAUUCACACAUUUCUCAAAAGUCAUCCAGAGUUAUAAAGGUACAGAUUGAAUGUACAAUUAUACAUUUUGGCAGAAGAACCUGCACAUAAACAAACAAACAAAAAAACUAACUUUCUGUUUUAUUUUGAAGGGAAGCCCUUUGAUCCAUAUCUCACCCUCAACAAUGCUGUCUCCAACAUUAUGUGCUCCCUGGUUUUUGGGCAUCGCUUUAAGUACAGUGAUGAGAAGUUUCAGAGACUGAUGAGCUGCCUUGAUAAAGGACUUCAGUGUCAAGGCACAAUUUGGGCACAGGUAUGCUAUUUUCAAACGAUCCUGACAAAAUACAACUUAAGAUCUAAAAUGCCCAACAAAUGGGGGGGGGGGGGGGUCAAUAUUAAGAAUGCAUUUUUUUUUCUAUACCCUAAAAUCACUUUAUUUUGAAUUGGUUCUGCUCUGCAGUUACACAACUCUUUCCCCCGACUGAUGAGACGUUUACCAGGACCACAUCAAACAUUCCUGGAUAUUUUCAAUGAGGCAAAGGAGUUCAUAAGAGAAGAGAUUAAGAAGCACAAACAAGACUGGGACCCCUCUGACCAAAGAGACUACAUUGACUGCUACCUGAAUGAAAUACAGAUGGUGACUGGCACUAGAUACAUCUUUAAUUUUCACUCAUUAAGUAGUGUUCAUGAAAUGUAAAGAGGUCCAUUUUUGUAGGACACAUGUUUUUAAUUGUCACUUCUGAGGGCAUUUUAUCUUACAGAAUACAACUUACUUUAAACCCUGGAACAGCAGCUUGCAACACUUAGAGAUUAAUUUGGUGGCACUGCUGUCUAAUUGUUUUGAAUUACCAGAGCACUUUUUUAACACAUGUAUUUGGAUCUAUUCUUAGGGGAAGGGGAAGGCUGGCAACACUUUUGUGGAAGAAAACCUUGUGAUGUGCGGCUUGGAACUUUUUGUGGCUGGCUCUGAAACAACAUCCACCACCCUGCGAUGGGCUAUCCUCUACAUGACAAAGUAUCCUGAGAUCCAGGGUAAGAACACUAAUCAGUCCACUUCAUAUUUGAAAAUGUGCAAAUAGAUGAUUAACACAGAUAUUGGUGGCAAAAUCUUAGGGGUAAACUAAACAAUCACAUUUCGAUAAAAAGCUUAACUUACCUGGCAAAUAUUGUGCCAACACAAGUCCUUCAUCAACUCUAUGCCGCAGACAUCACACUCAAAAAAAGUGGAGAACACAGGGACUGGCCUACACACUUAAAUCAUCUGAAUGGUUUUUUAUCUCACAGCAAAAGUCCAGGCUGAGAUUGACAGAGUGAUUGGAAGGUCCAGACAGCUGUCAAUGGACGAUCGAGCACACCUGCCCUACACAGACGCUGUCCUUCAUGAGAUCCAGAGAAUGAGUAGCAUAGUCCCCCUUAGCGACCCUCAUAUGACCAACACGGAAAUCCAGCUGGAAGGUUACACUAUACCAAAGGUGACUUUUCAGAAAACGUGUUUUUAUGUCAGGAUAUCUUUAUACUGUAUAAUAUUAGCUGAACAGGAUUGUUUCCAGAUGAAAGUCUGCAUCCUGACUUUGGUCGAGGUUUAAAAUUCUCUGCUCCAAUUUUCUUGCUUAGCCAAGCACAACUCUGGCAGCCAAACAGCGAGUUCAUAAGUACUUGUAACUCAUAAAACUCAUGAUCCAAGAAACUGAUGGUUAAAAUCCUACAAUAAAAGAGGAGAUCGAUAGUAGCACAAUCCAAAAGCGUAGCUUGAAAAAUGUAAAACUGCAUUAAAAGUUGGUUUUAGGACAAGAGGCCGAACAAAUCUUGGACGUAUGUGCAUUCUUCAUGAUACAAAACAUUUGGUUCAGAUCACUCUGACAGUUGGUAAAUACUGUUUGUGUUUUGCUAUCAUGUUUUGUUGAAAUGCUAUUGUGUUUUCUGAUUUAUUGUGUUUUUGAAGCUCUGUGGAACAUUUGGACCUCCAGGGCUACAGUUAACAAUAUCACAAUAACAAAAUCAUUCUUACAAACAGGGGGUUACAGUUAUUCCAAAUUUGACCUCAGCACUAUAUGACAAGGAUGAGUGGGAAACCCCGUUCACCUUCAACCCAGGACACUUUCUGACUAAGGACGGCAAGUUUGUGAAGCCAGCUGCUUUCAUCCCUUUCUCUGCAGGUGAGGGUCAACACAGACCUUUGUUUUAUUUGAGUCUUUCUCUGUUACUCAAGAAGCCCAGAGGUUGCUUCAGCAAUCAUGAGGAACCAAUGGUGCACCACAUUUUUAUUUCACAGCGUUCUUACACUAUUUUAAGUCAAAUUUAAGGGCUUUUGAUAUGUUUUUAAGGACCUGCAAAAAUGUAGUUUGAGAGACCUAAGCAUUGAAAAACCAUCUUCGAUUGAAACUGGAACAUCAUUUUUGUACAUGAUGAACAUUAACUAUCACGCACGGACGCAUCUCGUUCACUCCAUCAUGUGUGACUAUUAACUGAAUAUUUAAUUUAAUGCGGUUCCAGCUGUGUUAGUUUGGUCAGGAUGAGUGUCCAAAUGCGCUCAUCUGAUAAGCUAUAGAUCAGAAUAUAUCAAUAUUGAUCUUGCACUGAAUAUUGCUUGUUGUUUAUUUAUUGCACUGAAAUGUGCCUGACACUGUGGAAACCUGCCAGUGAGGCUUUGGUGACAUAUGCGCACUACGCCGCUGGUCAACUAAAAUACCACUAGACUAGCUGCGCUCCGCCUGCACUGAAAGCUGCACGGGGUGCACCACCCUCCGCCACAAUGCCGGCGGGCAUGAAAAUAGAGCCCUAACUAUCAACCAUCUGCAUCUGCCUAAGCCAAACUGCUCCCUGAGUUCCUUCUUUAAGAACUCAACAAACUUCUGGUUGAUAUUAAGGCGCUCCAUUGACACCAAGAGCAUAAUGCAGCUGCUUUGCACAGUAGGCAUUUAAAUUAAUCAUGGAAACGACCAGUUCAAACAAUCCACAAUCAGGUGAGAGACAAGGUUGUUAGCCCCUAUGUCAUAGUGAUGCUGCUCUUAGCUGAACUUUCUAUCAAUCUUGUACACUUGAGUCUGACAUUAACGCUGAUCGGUGUAAAAGCUUUGACUGGCUGGGUGGCAUCACGGGCUCUAUUUUCAUGUACGCUGGUGAGGCGGCGGAGGGUGGCGGACCCCGCGCAGUUGUAUUUUCGUCUGGCGGAGCCGGGCGUACAGCCAGUUUGGUAUUUUCGUGGACUGAGGCGCACGGAGGCGAACCGAGAUCCGGUGGUGGCGUGGCAGGGGAAGGUGUCGACAGAAUCAGCUGGUGCAGUGACAUUUUCGUGCUCGCCAGUGGCGUGUGAUUGUAACUGGCUCGCUGAUUCAAACCUGGUCAGCUUUCAGCGCAGGCGGAGCGCAGCUGGUCUAGUGGUAUUUUGGUAGACCGGCGGCGUAUCGGCAUACAUCACCGCAUCCUCACAGGCAGGUUUCCACAGUGUCAAUUUCAGUGCAAUAAAUAAUCAUCAACAACUAUUAAUCUGAGUCAGCACAUACAUUUAGAUCUAUAGAUAUAUUCUGAUCCAUAUCUGAUCUGAUGAGCGUGUUUGGCACACGUUUGGACACACAACCUGACCGAAUCAACACAGCUGAAACUGCAUUAAAUUAAAUUAAAUAUCUAGUAAAUAAACACACAUGAUGAAGUUAACAAGAUUUGUAAUUCGUCUCCCUCCUUUUCUUUCUUCCUUUUAUUUCUCGCGCAGCUCGACCUGGACAUGUCUGCGUGUCCUCUCCCCGUCCUGCUGCAGCUGCUGCUGCUGCAGCGGCUGAACAGAUGAUUUGUUUCAGUGCUCAGAUGCGUUAUCUACUUUAAGCCGACAUACGGAUAUUAUAAUAUUCAGUUUUGUAAGCCAAAUUUAUUUUAUCUGCCAACAUUUAUGAAAGAAAGAGCCAGGCCACGGAGUGGGAUGCGUCAUUUAUGCACAGAUGGUUCCGAUUUUAAUGCCAUUUUUGGAGUUUAUGUUGUGAUCUGUGCGCUCAACCCACCUUUGUCACGUGAGGUUUGAAUAUAUGCAACUUUAUGUGAGUGUCUUUAUUUGUGGAAAAGGGUGUUUGUCUUACCAGUGGGUCCAACAUUACACACACCAAAUCCAUCUGUGCUCAUAUGAGAGAGUGUGGAGGACGCCCAAUGCAGCGCUUACAGUGACACUUGUUGAGGAGCUGCCUUCUGUCGCCAUCAUGUGGCAUUGCUGUCUUCACACAUCUCUCGAUCUCUUUGACUACUUAACGAAAAUAGUAAUAUGCCUCGCCGGUGGCGGAUUUAAAGGCAAGGAGAGGAGCUGAUGUGAUUAGUGAAAACAGGUCUCGGCUGUGUUAAACCCACUCCACGCCCUCUCUCCUCCCUCGCUACGACUUACGCCGCUGGGAGGAGCUGAGUUAGGGAGGAGGGAUACUUACGCCGGGCUGCGCCGCUCACCAAAAUACCAAAUUGUGCUUGGGAACGUCUUGGCGGCGCGGCGGACCCGACUUACGCCGCGCCUGCGGCACAUUUCUGGCGAGGCACGAAAAUAGAGCCCUAUGUGUUACAAUUUAAAUCACAGGCACUGGCUUCUAAACUUGCUAUUGCUAAGGUAAGACAAGCUGGGCUUAUCAAAAAAACAGACCUUCAAUAACAGGUCUAGACACCAACAGGACAAGAUAUUUUAUGCUCAAAUAAUAUAAUCUUGUGUAGCUGGUCAUAGUACUUCUUGAUCACUGUGUGUCGGUUUUACCAUCGCCCUUUUCUCUUUUUGCUCUCAAUUUUCUAUUACCCUUUCCUAUUAUAAUAAAGAUAGGAUCCUCAAAUGAACUUUCAGGUAAAUUCAAGACAAUUUAUGGCCACAAUUCUCUGAUUCUAAUUCUAAGAACAAUUGUUGGCCGCUUUAAACAUUGUCAGCUGGCCUAUUCCCGCUUACAGUCUACACAAGAUCAGUUUGGAUGGAUCGUCAAUAAAACUGGUCCAACAAGAAUUUUCAUUUCGGUGCAAAGUUUCCAAUGGUGACUUAAAAUAAAAAUAACCUUUCUUGAAAGAACUCCUGAAAACAAACAAUUCUACUAACAUAGCUUCCUCAGAGCCCAAACUUUAUCAAAAAUCCUUUUUUGUUUAAAUUUAUUUUCCUGUCUCAGGUAAGCGAAUGUGUCUUGGUGAAAGCCUGGCCAAGAUGGAGCUUUUCCUCCUCUUCACCUCCUUCAUGCAGCACUUCACCUUCUCCAUGCCUGCUGGAAUAAAGCCUGUGCUGGACUACCACUUUGGCAUCGUAUUAGCGCCACAUCACUAUGAAAUCUGUGCAACCUCACGCUGAGAGAAGCUGUAACUGAUAAAGAGUGCUGACAAAAGCAUUUUUUAUUUGUUUGUUUUCAACGGUGUCCACAUAUAUCUUGAUGAAGCAGUAAAGAAGAGUUAGUAAACCCUUGGCUUUCAAUUUAGAUCACAUUGUGAGAAGACCCUAGUUAAUAAUAUUUUUUAAUUGUUAAGUCAAUAAAGUUGAUGUCUUUGCA
Molecule: long non-coding RNA, 7068 nt
Filed under: Xyrichtys novacula (pearly razorfish)
Lineage: Eukaryota; Metazoa; Chordata; Actinopteri; Labriformes; Labridae
Source: RNAcentral